GGCUCAGUUCCAUGCGGCGAUGUCCUGUGAAACCCGCCAGGCCCGGAAGGGAGCAACGGUAAGCAGUGUACAUCGGGUGCCAUGGAAAAGCUGGGUCGAA
Molecule: non-coding RNA, 100 nt
Organism: Acetomicrobium mobile DSM 13181
Lineage: Bacteria; Thermotogati; Synergistota; Synergistia; Synergistales; Acetomicrobiaceae
Rfam family: Bacterial small signal recognition particle RNA
About the family: The signal recognition particle (SRP) is a universally conserved ribonucleoprotein involved in the co-translational targeting of proteins to membranes.
Source: Rfam